RNAcentral lists this long non-coding RNA (947 nucleotides) under Homo sapiens (human). Its description in RNAcentral is "non-protein coding lnc-ZNF131-7:2". The record is from RNAcentral. Lineage: Eukaryota; Metazoa; Chordata; Mammalia; Primates; Hominidae.
GGCAGUAAUGCUCAUUUCCUGGAACAGAUGGUUCGUGGCCCUUGAAGCGCUGCGAUCUGUAAAGCUAGUUCUCUGCAAGAUUAAGGUUUCCACCCACCUCCCUGAAAUCUGAUUUGGACCCCCAGGAGGCCAGAAGAGUAUAAAAACGCAAAAGAUGUUGACUUCUGAGUCCCACAUACCCGGCGUCAGCUGGUGAAUGAAAGACACGAAGGAGCUGCUGUGGAGCUGCUGUCUCCCCUCGGAGUUUGGCAGGCCCGGGAUUCCGCAAAGGAGUUGGCGGGGCCAGAUGCCUCCAGCCCUGAGCUCAGUACAUUCGGUGUCCUGGAUGCUCCCUUCCUUUCCUUAUCACUGCGAGCUCUCCUGGGACGGCCUAGAUUUCCACUGGGACCUACUUUCGGCUCCCUGCGUGCUUCAUUGCUGAAACUGCCGGCGAAAAGAUCUCUUUCUCAAGCCUCAGAGCACCUUGAGGCGGGGCGCAGAGUCGCCCGCUCUGGAUCCCGCGCCAGAGACCCAGGAGGAUCCGCAGGAGCCCUCGGGAGAGCAGGAGGCUGCAUAGGGUCUCAACGUACUCCCGUCCCCGCAGCCUCCCUCGCAACUCGCCCCUCGCUCGGUAGGCAGACAACUCCAGCCGGACAGGUCCGUCCGAGGAGACCUUUCAGAGUGUCAGCCUACUGCUGACCUCGGAGCCACCAACCAAAGUUCCAAGACUGCUGGCUGCAGAUUGCAUGCUCUUGGGGCAGACGCCCUAAGAAUGUGUCCACCGAGUCCAAUGUGUCUUUGGAGUCCUGAGCCCUGAGAUUUCCGCUAAGACCUUCCAUUGGACGAUCUCUUGUAACAGAUGUUGUUACAGUAACACGUGAGUUCGCUCAAAUGCGAUGGAAGUUUUGCCUUUCGAUCAUUUUGUGCCUUUGUCUUUCCCCUUCUCAAUAAAAUCGUACACAAAUGUG